This 446-nucleotide ribosomal RNA is filed under the name uncultured bacterium. Its description in RNAcentral is "partial 16S ribosomal RNA". It matches the Rfam family "Bacterial small subunit ribosomal RNA", at positions 338 to 795 of the family's 1533-position model. The record is from RNAcentral.
CCUACGGGCGGCUGCAGUCGAGAAUCAUUCACAAUGGGGGAAACCCUGAUGGUGCGACGCCGCGUGGGGGAAUGAAGGUCUUCGGAUUGUAAACCCCUGUCAUGUGGGAGCAAAUUAAAAAGAUAGUACCACAAGAGGAAGAGACGGCUAACUCUGUGCCAGCAGCCGCGGUAAUACAGAGGUCUCAAGCGUUGUUCGGAAUCACUGGGCGUAAAGCGUGCGUAGGCUGUUUCGUAAGCCGUGUGUGAAAGGCGCGGGCUCAACCCGCGGACGGCACAUGAUACUGCGAGAAUAGAGUAAUGGAGGGGGAACCGGAAUGCUCGGUGUAGCAGUGAAAUGCGGAGAUAUCGAGAGGAACACUCGGGGCGAAGGCGGGUUCCUGGACAUUAACUGACGCUGAGGCACGAAGGCCAGGGGAGCGAAAGGGAUUAGAUACCCGUGUAGUC